This 556-nucleotide long non-coding RNA is filed under the name Lupinus mutabilis. RNAcentral describes it as "partial ncRNA". Lineage: Eukaryota; Viridiplantae; Streptophyta; Magnoliopsida; Fabales; Fabaceae. The record is from RNAcentral.
CAGCCGCAGCAGCCUCAGGUGCAUCUUCAAACGGAAACGAUAACAACGGAGGAAACAAUGGUAACAAUGGAUCAUCAAGCGCAGCAGCAUCAGGUGCAUCUGCAAACGGAAACAAUAACAACGGAGGAAACAAUGGGAACGGUUCUGGAUCAAAUGCCGCAGCAUCAGGUGGAGCUUCAAAUGGCAGUGGUAACAAAGUGAACAAUACAGGAACAAGUGCUGGUGCAGCAACAGGAUCCAAUAUUAAUAAAGGAAAUGGACAAAAUAAUCGCGGCAGUGCAAGUGCAAGUGGAGCGGCAACAUCAUCAGCAGCAGGUUCAGGUGGAGCCGGCAAUGGCAACGGCAAGAAAAGUGGUAAACAAGGAAAUAGUCAAGGUAGCUCGGCAGCAUCUUCAGCCGCAGCAAGCUCAGCAUCAGGAAAUGGCACAAAACCUGGUAAAAGUCCAGUUAAGCAAGGAAUUAUCCCAGCCAUGAUGUCUAAAAUUCCUAUGAAAGUUUCUUUGAUGUUCUAAAUUUGUGAUGAAUUAUGCUUGUAUUUGUAUUGCAUUACGCUUAU